GACGAACGCUGGCGGCGUGCUUAACACAUGCAAGUCGAACGCUGAAGCUCAGCUUUUGUUGGGUGGAUGAGUGGCGAACGGGUGAGUAACACGUGAGUAACCUGCCCCCUUCUUUGGGAUAACGCCCGGAAACGGGUGCUAAUACUGGAUAUUCACUGGUCUUCGCAUGGGGGUUGGUGGAAAUGGUUUUUCUGGUGGGGGAUGGGCUCGCGGCCUAUUUGCUUGGUGGUGGGGUGAUGGCCUACCAAGGCUUUGCCGGGUAGCCGGCAUGAAGGGGCGCCCUGUCACUUUGAGACGGACAUACGGCCUAGACUCGUACGGAGGGCGGAAGUGGGGAAUAUUGGCGAAUGGGUGCAAGCGUGAUGCAGCGAUGCUGCGUGAGGGAUGGGGGUCUUCGGGUUGUGAUCCUCUUUCGCAAAUGGUCAAGCCGAAACAAUGGUUGUGGUGAGGGUAGUGGGUAAAGAAGCGCCGGCUAACUACGUG
This 483-nucleotide ribosomal RNA is filed under the name uncultured bacterium. Its description in RNAcentral is "partial 16S ribosomal RNA". It matches the Rfam family "Bacterial small subunit ribosomal RNA", at positions 28 to 507 of the family's 1533-position model. The record is from RNAcentral.